GAUGAAGAACGUAGCAAAAUGCGAUAAGUAAUGUGAAUUGCAGAAUUCAGUGAAUCAUCGAAUCUUUGAACGCACAUUGCGCCCGCCAGUAUUCUGGCGGGCAUGCCUGUUCGAGCGUCAUUUCAACCCUCAAGCACAGCUUGGUGUUGGGACUCGCGUUAAUUCGCGUUCCCCAAAUUGAUUGGCGGUCACGUCGAGCUUCCAUAGCGUAGUAGUAAAACCCUCGUUACUGGUAAUCGUCGCGGCCAAGCCGUUAAACCCCAACUUCUGAAUGUUGACCUCGGAUCAGGUAGGAAUACCCGCUGAACUUAAGCAUAUCAAUAAGCGGAGGA
RNAcentral lists this unclassified non-coding RNA (332 nucleotides) under soil metagenome. Its description in RNAcentral is "partial contains 5.8S ribosomal RNA, internal transcribed spacer 2, and large subunit ribosomal RNA". The stretch from base 1 to 120 matches the Rfam family "5.8S ribosomal RNA", at positions 35 to 154 of the family's 154-position model. The record is from RNAcentral.